UAUGACGGCAGAGGGCGGGACGUUUUUAAAUUCGUGCGGCUCGACUGUCACCCCACAAUGUUUUUUUUUUUUUUUUAUGUUUACGAAUGAACUCACGAAGAGCACAUUUUGAUUUAAGAAGCUAACUUUAUAUGUUGAAUUUCUCUGUGUUUCACUGUGCACGUCCUAUUGAAUUUCUCUGUGUUUCACUGUGCACGUCCUAUUGAAUUUCUCUGUGUUUCACUGUGCACGUCCUAUUGAAUUUCUCUGUGUUUCACUGUGCGCGUCCAGCGAUGCUCCACAUCUGACUCAACUGAGAGGAGAAGACCAUGGCUGCGUCACCGGUGCAAUGUGACGGGGAACAAACAUCUCCAAAGUUUUCUUUGACGUGGUGCCUGGCUCACCUAUCACCUGGACCAGCGGAUGAACAUCAGGAGGAGGACUCCGGCGCAGAAGGGAGACAAGAGGUACACAGCAAAAGUGUUGGGUUUUCAGUGUUAGGGUUUAGUGUUAAAAUAUAGAGUUAUUUAAACUCAGGAUUAGUGUUAAUCAACUCCAAGAGAGUUAUUGUAAAAAAAAUAGUUAAUUGUGUCAACCUACACUUUAUAACAGUGGAGCUAUUGAAUAAUGUUUCCAUAAAAUAUCUUUAACAAUUCAUAAAUAUUAUUCAAAAUACAUUUUAUUCAAAGUUGCAGCUGUAGUACAACAAGGAGGAGCCCCUUGAUAUAUGGUAUUCAUUUUGUCAGCCUACACUUUAUAACAGUGGAGCUAUUGAAUGUUUACAUAAAAUAUCUUUAAAAAAUCAUUAAAAUUAUUCCAAAUACAUUUUAUUCAAAAUUACAACUGUAGUACAACAAGGAGGAGCCCCUUGAUGUAUGGUAUUCAUUUUGGCAGCCUACUCUUUAUUACCAUGGAGCUAUUGAAUGUUUCAAUAAAAUAUCUUUAACAAAUCAUAAUAAUUAUUCAAACUACAUUUUCUUCAAAGUUACAGCUGUAGUACAACAAGGAGGAGCCCCUUGAUAUAUGGUAUUAAUUUUGUCAGACUCCACUUUAUUACAGUGGAGCUAUUGAAUAUUUUUUGAGUAUGUAUUUUCCGGAUUGCACUUUGUAGAUGGUCCCUGUGCUCACGUCUCCCAGCUGGCGGCACAUUGAGACCAAUGUUAUUCGUCCAGCUCGGAGACCGACCCGUUUUGGAAAAAUUAAGGUUGUAGCUUGUUGUCGACAUCACUACGGUCACAGAGAGAUCUCGUUAGUCUUUUAACUCCAUUUUGCAAAAGAGCUAUUGAGCCGGGAAGUUCGAAUCUGUGAAUCUCUUUCCAACUUAACCGAACUAACCCAGUUGACCUCGGAGUCCCGAUGGAGCUUCAAACGAUCUCACUUCUGACACCAAGUUGUGGUGGAAGAUUUCUAUGUUUGUUCAGGAGGAGAGUUUAUGGUUCCAGCAGCUCUGCAAGGCCAUGAGGAGCCUUGUGCAAUUGCCUAUGAAGAGAAGGCAAACCAUUUGCCAGGGGAAAAGUUGAACAUUGGGUUCACAACCAGGGCUAAACUCACCAGAUAUCUUGAUGAGGGUGACAUCACACCACGGCAGGUGGAGUCAUUCCAUGAAGCUGUGUUAAGUUUCUUAACAAGUGCUGUGGGCUAUGCACUUAGGAAGCUGCCACUGGAAGAGCCACUGAUCAAACACUCACAAUUUGUAGAUGUGCGGCAGAGGGCUAAAAGUGGCAUUGAAGAUGUCCUUUACUUUGUUGAAAGGUUCCCCCAUCUCUUCCCAUACCAUGGGCCAGAGGAGCAUAACCACCUGGGUGAGGAGUUUUUAAAUUAUCAGACGAUGCCAACAACCUCCCUUCAGGACUAAACAGAUAUGGACAACUUCUGGGCUGGAAUGGCAACAAGGAAACAUAAGGUGACAGGAGCCAAAGAAUUUCAGAGGCUUGCUGCCGUUGCCAAGCUGGUCCUGGUGUUGCCUCAUUCAAAUGCAGAUGCUGAGAGGGUGUUUUCAUUUGUGGGACUAAAUAAAACAAAGACCAGAAAUAGCCUGGCAUUGGAUGGCACCCUGUCCUCCAUCAUGGCCAUAAAGAUGGCCGACCUGGAGCCCUGCUUCAGAUGGGAGCCCCCCUCAGCGGUCAUCAAGGCCUCCAAGAAGGCCACAGACCAGUACAACCUUGCCCACAAAUCGUAAAAAAUUCUGAUACCUCAUUUUUUGUUAUUUUAUUUAUGUGUUGAACCAUUGUUUUGGUUAAAAAGGCUACUGUUUAAGCACUUUAUUUGUUGCACUUUUUUGUUUCAUAAUGAAAAAUAUUUCUCCCUAACUA
This is a long non-coding RNA of Cyclopterus lumpus (lumpfish), 2291 nucleotides long. RefSeq lists it as uncharacterized. The record is from RefSeq and is a predicted model, not a curated record. The transcript has 4 exons. Lineage: Eukaryota; Metazoa; Chordata; Actinopteri; Perciformes; Cyclopteridae.